UACGUAGGGUGCAAGCGUUGUCCGGAAUUAUUGGGCGUAAAGAGCUCGUAGGCGGUUCGUCGCGUCGGCUGUGAAAACCCGGAGCUCAACUCCGGGCCUGCAGUCGAUACGGGCGGACUUGAGUGUUGCAGGGGAGACUGGAAUUCCUGGUGUAGCGGUGAAAUGCGCAGAUAUCAGGAGGAACACCGGUGGCGAAGGCGGGUCUCUGGGCAGUAACUGACGCUGAGGAGCGAAAGCGUGGGGAGCGAACAGG
This 253-nucleotide ribosomal RNA is filed under the name uncultured bacterium. RNAcentral's name for it is "partial 16S ribosomal RNA". It matches the Rfam family "Bacterial small subunit ribosomal RNA", at positions 524 to 776 of the family's 1533-position model. The record is from RNAcentral.